This 2772-nucleotide long non-coding RNA is filed under the name Nicotiana benthamiana. RNAcentral's name for it is "long non-coding RNA (NBEN_LNC033362)". Lineage: Eukaryota; Viridiplantae; Streptophyta; Magnoliopsida; Solanales; Solanaceae. The record is from RNAcentral.
GCGUGACUCAACUUGUAUAAAGUUGUUGCAUUAAUUUUCAGUCUAUGAACUCAUACAUUAGUGCUCAACAGAUUCAAUUCCUGUUUCAAGUAUUUUUCUGAAUUAAAAAAAAGUAACUACAUAGAAAUAAUAAACUAAGCUAACCAAAGCUAAACUACAAAUUCAAGUUGUCCAGCUUAUAAUUUUAAAGCCAUAUACAGUCUACGCUCCACUUUAACAAACCAAUGAUGUCCACAAGUACACAUUUCAUAACCCAGAUUAAUAGUCAGCAUUUAACUAACUAUAUUUAAAGUAAUUUCAACACAAAAAAAAAACUAAAUAACUACAUAUUAGACAAAAUCAAAUCAAAAUUGUUCCACAAAUUCCAGUGUGGCCAACGUGUUUUCCAUUUCAAUCAGUGAGAUUACAUAGAGUGUGUACCUGGAAAUAAGGAAACAAAUGGGGAAGAAGAAGGAUCAGCAGCAAGCAACAUAAAUAAUUGAACCACAACAGUAAUCAACAGAAUCCAACAGCAGAACCAGCUUAUAACCAAAAUCGAGCAAGAAAAUCAGUUGAAAAACUGUUCCUCUUUAUCAGCAAACCAUAACAACUUCAAAAAUUACCCUCAAACACCCAUUUCAAUUCAUUUUAACAUGUAGAAUCAGAAGAUCUUUCAGAAACUGAAAAUUUGGAGAAAAACACUGAAAAAUCAUUAACGUGACAGUAACUUCGGCAUUUUUUAUUUUUCAAGAGAUUUCUACUGUUUUUGGUUUUUUUUCAUUCAAAAGCUAGAUCUGAAAUUGAAAAUGAAAGGAAUAGUUCAAUGUAAGGUUUUUUAGGGCUGAAAAUUGAAGACCUCUUUCCACAAGGCACCUCAUGCCCUUUUAUAGGCAACAAAAGAGAUUAGAUCAGAUUUUUUUUAUUUAUUUUUAGUCCUUCUCUUAUUUUCAGUUUGGUCCCUCUAUUUUUGACUUGCUAAACAAGUAAAUACCUUGGAAUGCGAGCUUAUAUGCUUUCAGGUAUAGGCACCAUUCACCUGACUUUCUUGAAGUACUAGGAUUCUCCCCUAGUAUUCCAUUCUCUCCCCCUCUCGGCCUUGCUUUCAUUCCUGUCUCAUUUGAAAUAGCUCCUAAGGCAGGGAGUCUUCUCGAAGCUGUCUAAGUCUUGUAAGGCUCCUAUAUCUAUAUAUAGAGAGGUCAUGGUAUGGAGGGAGGAUUUCUACGCGCAACAUCGUGGUUGGGGCAUUCCUCCUUCUUUUAAAAGAAGACUAGAGGACGAAAGAAGAAGCUCUUACAUCGGAUAAAGCCUAAUUCCACUGUCCUUUGAAGAUUGGAAGAUAGUGAAGGCCGACUUCCUUUUUAAAGAUCACUCAACGAUGUGGCAAAUCCCCUUUUUUAAGUCUAUGAAUUGGAAGCAGGAAAGACUUAGGCAAAUCGCUCUAGGUUAAAAUAUAACCUCUAUUAUGCUGAAAUGCACACUAAAGUACCAUUCUAUACUACCCCUUCCCUACUUCGGAAUUACUAUUUCUCAAGAAACUACCAUUUUCCAUCCCUAAAAUACCCUUUUACUACUCUGAAAUUUACUGACUAAAUGAACUGAACCCAAUCCCUCACCCUAGUUAGGAAUUAACCAAAGUUAACUAAAAUCGGCUAUAUCCAAUAAAUCUAACCUAGAAAUAAACUAUUAACACUAACAAUGACUAAUACUUAACUGGAAUUAAUCCAAAACGAGUUCCAAAUUUAACUUCAAACAAACAUGGUAAAAUGAAAACCUAAUUACACUAAUGACUAAUUAGUAAUUGAUUAUUUAUCUAACAAAAUCCAUACAGUGAUUGAACAAAAGACGAAAAUAAAACAAACAUGAAAAUCAGAUCUUAACAAAACAAGGAAUCACAUUAAAGGAUUAAACAAGGAAUUAAACAACACUGAAAAUUAAAGAGGUAAACCAAACAAGGCACCAAAGAAUUACGAUUGCACAAUCCAAAGAGGUGAGCUUGACUAAAUUAAUGCUUAUUUGUCUAAAUUGAUUAAACAGAAAUAAAACGAAAGAACAAAGGGAGCAUGGAUUACACGAACAAAUAUCAAACCUGACGAGAACGAACAAAAGAAACCGAUAAAAACAAAAAAAUACUUACACAGACUUCUGCCCGGAAAACCCCAUCAGAAUCGAAAUCUGAUUAAUAUUAUUUGCUAUUUAACCCAAAAUAAGCAAAUAACAGUAACGGGAAGUCGAUUCGACUUUGAGAAAUAUUCGAACGUGUCGAAACUGACAAAACCCUAACUCCACAGUUUAAUGAGCUUCAGAGAGAUUUGAAGGGUUUCAACCAAGGAUUCGUGGCAACGAAGGUCAGGAGAUCAUUUGGUAUCGAUUGCAUGCAUUUUGGGGCAUAGGGGCCGAAAAAUCUUUGAAUCCAAAUUCGAGUCGUUACGGUUAUAUUUGAGGGAUGAGGCUAGGAGGGUUGGAUAGAGGAGACUCAGGCAAGGCUAUGGUGUAAAUUUGGGGUCAUUUGGUAUAACCGGCGACUUGGCCGGAAAAUCUUCUGAUGAAGAUUCGACGAGAUUGAGAGGGUUAUGAGGAAAUUCGAUGGUGGAUUUUGGAUGAGGAGAAGAAGGAGAAAUGAUGGUGUAAAACCGGAGGUAUUUGGUUGUCGGUAGCCGCCGCGGGCGAUUCCCGGCGGCAGCAGGUGGUGGAUCUAGGGUUAGCAGUGACAAGUCGAGAGAGAGAGAAGGGUUCUGAGAGGGGGGGUUAAUUUUUAGACACUGAACAUCCUAGGCAGUUCGAAGCCGUUGGAUU